Long non-coding RNA from Solanum stenotomum, 1481 nucleotides. RefSeq lists it as uncharacterized. NCBI's taxonomy places the organism in Eukaryota, Viridiplantae, Streptophyta, Magnoliopsida, Solanales, Solanaceae. The transcript is spliced from 4 exons. The record is from RefSeq and is a predicted model, not a curated record.
UGCAAUAAUGCUAUCAUUCGGUGCUGUAGUACCAUCGAUAAUGUCCUUUGAUCCAAUCAGUCCCAGAAACAGUUAUAGAGUUUGAAACCAGGCGUUUGCCUGUCAGGCCUACAAUUACUCCGGUGGAUCCUCCACCAUCGGAAUCGAAGGAGAUAACAGUGACAGAUGCUCUUCCGUUGGAAAUUACUCCUGAGAUGGCGAUUGUUCUGAGGAAUCCUCAAAGAAGGAAUAAUAACUGGUGCCAUCCUUGUUUAGGGAUAAACUCCAAUUCCAACCGUAGAUUUUUGGAUUUUGAUAUCAGAAGAGCUGCUGUUCCUACUCUUCCACAAAUAACUGCUCCUGUUCCAUCCAUCCGCCGGCGAUCAACAUCGGCUACUGGAAAACCUUGAAAAACAAAUUGAUGAGUAAACUAAAGGCACACUCCACAGAGGAAACCUCAUUGCUUUAGAAGAGAACUAUGAAAUUAAUAAAUGUCGAGACUGACAAUGGCGAAUCAUGGGGAUUGCUUAACAUCCUAAACCUAGGAAUUAUCAAGGGCUAUCAGUAUUAGGAGUUUAUCAAGGUUAUCGGUAUGAGAAGAGUGUGUACAUUGCCCUUUUUUGUUCAAUUCUUGAUCAGUACGAGUGUUUGCUUAACAAAAUGUUGGGCCCGAGACCAUACAUACCUAACUAGUUUACCUUCCAUUGAAUGGGAAAAAAACUGAACCAGAAUUCCCGUGGGAAGUCCUUUUGUUGCCUAAAACAAUCUUAUGGUCCAUCAUUAUGUAAUCCCUACUCGAGUUCUACACAUACAAAAAUAGAUGUAUUCAACUAAAAGGAGCCUUCAGCAGGCAGUGAGGGUACUUGUCAAUCACUAUGUAAUGUACUUAACUCCGCUUCUGCUUGUGAUUACUAUUUGUACAUGAGUCAAGGAACUCAAAAUCACAACACAUUCACCCUUUAUUUACUAGUACUGAUGAAUUACUUAAUAGUAAAAUGUAUCCCUUGUACUUAAGAGGUUAUACAAUCUGUAAUGUUAAUGACUGGCUUUUGUUGAAGAAUGACUAUGAUGAUUGAACGUCUGUAAUUCGUUUGUCUGCAGGCGUGUGGCGUUAUUAUGAGAAACAACCUUUGGUUAUCCAUCCCAAAUAUCAUUAUGAAGAGAGAAAAACUGCUGACACUUACUACACUUCAUCUCAAUUUUCAUUAGGAUAGUUGAAGUAUGAAGUUAUUCAUAUGUAUUUAUACUUAUCUGCAGGUCCUCAGGAUGAUCUAGGCGGUAUGGAUGUAGCAAGAAAGGUGGCCAGGAGAUAUACACUUGUUGUUACGCGAAACAACCUUUGGUUAUCCUAGCUGAUAUCCGGCCUUGACAUUCAAAAUUUAUUCCCAGUAACAUCUAAAUAAAUGGUAAAAUGUAUGUCCAAACAGGGGCUGAUCUACAUGGUGGUGAACCCCGUUCCUCCUUAACUUUAGGUUAGUAUCAUAAUCAGAGUCCUGAAUAGA